This 64-nucleotide transfer RNA is filed under the name human oral metagenome. It matches the Rfam family "tRNA". Rfam says of the family: Transfer RNA (tRNA) molecules are approximately 80 nucleotides in length. Their secondary structure includes four short double-helical elements and three loops (D, anti-codon, and T loops). Further hydrogen bonds mediate the characteristic L-shaped molecular structure. tRNAs have two regions of fundamental functional importance: the anti-codon, which is responsible for specific mRNA codon recognition, and the 3' end, to which the tRNAs corresponding amino acid is attached (by aminoacyl-tRNA synthetases). tRNAs cope with the degeneracy of the genetic code in two manners: having more than one tRNA (with a specific anti-codon) for a particular amino acid; and 'wobble' base-pairing, i.e. permitting non-standard base-pairing at the 3rd anti-codon position. The record is from RNAcentral.
AAUGUGGUGUAGUGGUAGCACAUUGGUCUCCGAAGCCAGUGGUGGAGGUUCGAUUCCUCUCAUU